AUUGAACGCUGGCGGCAUGCUUUACACAUGCAAGUCGGACGGCAGCACAGAGAAGCUUGCUUCUUGGGUGGCGAGUGGCGAACGGGUGAGUAAUAUAUCGGAACGUACCGAGUAAUGGGGGAUAACUAAUCGAAAGAUUAGCUAAUACCGCAUAUUCUCUGAGGAGGAAAGCAGGGGACCUUCGGGCCUUGCGUUAUUCUAGCGGCCGAUAUCUGAUUAGCUAGUUGGUGGGGUAAAGGCCUACCAAGGCGACGAUCAGUAGCGGGUCUGAGAGGAUGAUCCGCCACACUGGGACUGAGACACGGCCCAGACUCCUACGGGAGGCAGCAGUGGGGAAUUUUGGACAAUGGGCGCAAGCCUGAUCCAGCCAUGCAGCGUGUGUGAAGAAGGCCUUCGGGUUGUAAAGGACUUUUGUCAGGGAAGAAAAGGCUGUUGCUAAUAUCAAUAGCUGAUGACGGUACCUGAAGAAUAAGCACCGGCUAACUACGUG
RNAcentral lists this ribosomal RNA (490 nucleotides) under uncultured bacterium. RNAcentral describes it as "partial 16S ribosomal RNA". It matches the Rfam family "Bacterial small subunit ribosomal RNA", at positions 30 to 507 of the family's 1533-position model. The record is from RNAcentral.